AACCAGCACCUCAAGUGGUCAGGAUGAUUAUUGGGCCGUAAACGACAUCCGUAGCUCGUUUUGUAAGUUUUCGGUUAAAUCCAUACGCUUAACGUAUGGGCUGCCGGGAAUACUGCAUAACUAGGAAGUGGGAGAGGUAGACGGUACUCGGUAGGAAGGGGUAAAAUCCUUUGAUCUAUUGAUGACCACCUGUGGCGAAGGCGGUCUACCAGAACACGUUCGACGGUGA
This 229-nucleotide ribosomal RNA is filed under the name uncultured bacterium. Its description in RNAcentral is "partial 16S ribosomal RNA". It matches the Rfam family "Archaeal small subunit ribosomal RNA", at positions 474 to 700 of the family's 1478-position model. The record is from RNAcentral.